AACGUAGGAGGCAAGCGUUAUCCGAAUUUACUGGGCGUAAAGCGUGUGCAGGCGGCUUGAUAAGUUGGGUGUGAAAUCUCCCGGCUCAACUGGGAGAGGUCGCUCAAGACUGUCAGGCUGGAGGGCAGUAGAGGGUGGUGGAAUUCCCGGUGUAGUGGUGAAAUGCGUAGAUAUCGGGAGGAACACCAGUGGCGAAGGCGACUACCUGGCCUGUUCUUGACGCUGAGGCGCGAAAGCUAGGGGAGCAAACGGG
RNAcentral lists this ribosomal RNA (253 nucleotides) under uncultured bacterium. Its description in RNAcentral is "partial 16S ribosomal RNA". It matches the Rfam family "Bacterial small subunit ribosomal RNA", at positions 524 to 776 of the family's 1533-position model. The record is from RNAcentral.